UGGGGAGUGCCGCGAACGCCCCGUGAGGCGCCAAGCCCAAGGUUCGC
This 47-nucleotide non-coding RNA is filed under the name Roseobacter sp. SK209-2-6. The record is from RNAcentral. Lineage: Bacteria; Pseudomonadati; Pseudomonadota; Alphaproteobacteria; Rhodobacterales; Roseobacteraceae.